GGAGAGAUGCGAGAGUGGUUGAAUCGGGCGGUCUCGAAAACCGUUGUAUCCGUAAGGAUACCGAGGGUUCGAAUCCCUCUCUCUCCG
RNAcentral lists this transfer RNA (87 nucleotides) under Treponema sp. Its description in RNAcentral is "tRNA-Ser". It matches the Rfam family "tRNA". From Rfam's summary of the family: Transfer RNA (tRNA) molecules are approximately 80 nucleotides in length. Their secondary structure includes four short double-helical elements and three loops (D, anti-codon, and T loops). Lineage: Bacteria; Pseudomonadati; Spirochaetota; Spirochaetia; Treponematales; Treponemataceae. The record is from RNAcentral.